AUUCUGCCCAUGCGGGGAAGGAUGAGAAGCUUCGAUUAAGGUUCGACUCGAGCGAAAGCGAGAGAACGUUGCCGCAGGCAACGACCCGAAGGGCGAGGCGCAACGCGCCGAGUAAUCCUUCCCCCACCACCA
RNAcentral lists this small RNA (132 nucleotides) under Citrobacter amalonaticus. RNAcentral's name for it is "RtT sRNA". It matches the Rfam family "RtT RNA". Rfam says of the family: This family represents a bacterial cis-regulatory element known as RtT RNA. The exact function of RtT is unknown although it is thought that it may be involved in changing the cellular response in relation to amino acid starvation. RNAcentral also lists the same sequence under 1 other name. Lineage: Bacteria; Pseudomonadati; Pseudomonadota; Gammaproteobacteria; Enterobacterales; Enterobacteriaceae. The record is from RNAcentral.